RNAcentral lists this ribosomal RNA (499 nucleotides) under uncultured bacterium. Its description in RNAcentral is "bacterial SSU rRNA". It matches the Rfam family "Bacterial small subunit ribosomal RNA", at positions 103 to 618 of the family's 1533-position model. The record is from RNAcentral.
CGGCCGCGUAACACGUAAGCAACCUGCCCUGAAGUGGGGGACAACAUCCCGAAAGGGGUGCUAAUACCGCAUGUGGUCACGAGUCGGCAUCGACUUGUGUCUAAAGAUUUAUCGCUUCAGGAUGGGCUUGCGGCCUAUCAGGUAGUUGGUGGGGUAAUGGCCUACCAAGCCGACGACGGGUAGCUGGUCUGAGAGGACGAUCAGCCGGAUUGGGACUGAGAUACGGCCCAGACUCCUACGGGGGGCAGCAAUUAGGAAUCUUGCGCAAUGGGGGAAACCCUGACGCAGCGACGUCGCGUGAAGGAUGAAGGCCCUCGGGUCGUAAACUUCUUUUGAGUGGGAAGAAAUUUGACGGUACCACUCGAAUAAGCCCCGGCUAACUACGUGCCAGCAGCCGCGGUAAUACGUAGGGGGCGAGCGUUGUCCGAAGUUACUGGGCGUAAAGCGCGCGUAGGCGGUUAUUUAAGUCUGGGGUGAAAGGUUCAGCGCUCAACGUGAA